CUUAACUUUAAACUGUGAUAAAUAUCUUAUAUUGCUAGUUUAAAAAUUUAAAUCGUUUGCAUUUCAUUAUGAAAUAAAAUUUUAAUGCAGGCAGUGUUUCGAAAUUCGAUUAUUGUGAACAAUUAGAUUAGGUCUUUCUACAUCCAACGCAGAACGGAGUCCACGGAGGAUAAGCUGAUCUAACGCUGAAUCUUUUUGCUUGCGUUCUUGAAUAUUUUAUCUUGCAAAAGAAUUGCCUUGAUAUUCAUAUUUGCAAUAAAGAAAUUUGCUUUGAAUCCCAAGUAAAGUAAACAAUAUGUUUUACUAUGAGCAGGCAUCAGUCCGCCUGAACAAUUUAUCAUCAUUGCUGACAUGAUUUGUGAUACUUACCAACUAAAUAAAUAGUUAUUGACUUUUGGCAAAGUGCAAGAACCACUUCAUAUCACAUCAUUUAACCUCCUUUGUACAUUUCGACUAUUUGACAUAGCUCUGACUUGUCAAUCUAGCUGUUCUUUAGCAAUGUUUCUAUAGAUUUUGUUUAGAAUUCGCAUGAAUUCCUUCUUUCACAGUGUUAUUGGCUGGGUGCCAAUGUCCAUUUUGUUGUAGAGUAAGUACCUCUGGACAUUGCCAAGCAGUAACAAUUGUCAUUUCUUGUCAAGUCAUCAUUUGUUUCAAUUGGUCUGGUCCUAUUGCUGUGUUUAUUUCCCAUGGAAGUAUGAGCCCUACAGUUACUAUAUAAUUUUCAUUUGAUUUUAGGAAUAUGUCUGUCUAAUAUCCUCAUGCUGGGAUUUUAAAGUUUUUCAUACAUAUACAUCAGCACUGUUGAUUUAGGUGGUUGUUAUUCAAAAUCAUUUCUAGCCUAAGAUUAAAAAACCACAGUUGUGAGGGCUUUCAACUAUAUUAACCACACUAUAACUGCAUACUACUUUUAAAUAACUGAAUUCAAGAAAAAUCUUCAUUUGAAUUUAUUCAAUUCAAGAUGAAAGAAUAAAUUGUACAUGCUGUUUCAUAAGUUAGCUAGAGUUAUGGGCUCCUUUAUAGGUCUUGUUGUACCACACAGUAUAGACUUUUUACACUUGACAAUUUCUUUUUGAUAAUUUCCUAUCAAACCCUUUAUGAAAGAAAUUAACAUAGCUCAAGUAGCUAUGAAAAAUACUGGAAUUAAUCCUUUUGUUAAGAUCAAGCUACAAAUUAACCUGCAGGAACGUGAGUUUUAGGUACUCAAAGUAGUGAGGAUGAAUUUGAAAUUUGGUAUUUUUAUAUCUUAUUACAGGGAAAUAAAAAAACCAAUUACAUAAUAUGAAAUUGGUUUUUUAGGCUAAUCAUAAUAUGAUUAUCCUCUUAAUAUUUAUAUAAAUUAGUCAUUAAAACAGUCUUUAAAUUCAAACAAUCCUGCACAUUAUAACAAAAUAUUGAAAUCAGGAACUAAAAUUAGAUGCGAGAAAUAUGAUAAGACUUACUACCUACCUAACUACCCUUAAUGAUCUUCAUUUCAGCCGGAAGACGUCCACUGCUGGACAAAGCCCUUAAUCAAACAAAAUUUUUUUUUGAGAAAAUUUAAAACUGGAAGAGGUUUGUAGGUCACUUGGUUGUGGAGAUUUCUAAAAAAAUACUCCUUUUUCUAUAUAGAGGGGGGGGAAAUGGGGGUUUUGCGGAAAUUAUUUCCAAGUAUCCAUUAUUUCGAUGCAAAAUAUAAUUAAGUGGGAAAUUACUUACCAAUAUCCAGGACAGCCUCAACUUUUGCUACACUUUUUUUACAAGUUCUAUACAUAUUAGUUGCUCCUACUUUGCUUUUUUUUUUUAUCUAAUAUAAUAAAAUAAAAGAGGAAUAUUAAUUCGGUCCUUUCUCCUAAUGAGUCUUAGCAGUCCCAAAAUGUCUGUCACAUUGUAGAAACGAAUGGCCACGGACAGGAAAGUAUUGAUAUAUUUUCUCAAAACGAUUUAUUCCAACAAGAGUUAGUAAGAAUCUUAUAAGAGUGUUAUUUCUAUUUUGUCCUCCACAAGCAUCGCUAAAAACGUGUAGUUCUUUGACAGAGGGAUCCAUAUUCUGUACAGUCUUCCACAAUAAACUGCGUACUUCAUCUAUGCCCCGUUUAGCUAUGCUUAAGCUAUGAGGGUAAGUGUAGAAAUCAGCAGAAUUCGUCUUUAAGUCGUGAACACAAAACACAUACAGCCAUAGUUUUCUCAAAUAAAACAUCUCUUGAACUGGUAUCUUAGGAAUCGGCAGAUUUUGCAUAUAAUCAGAUACAAUGGCUCCUACAUCUUCUCUUUCUUGACACAGUGCCAAAAUUUCUUUCUGUUUAUUAUAAAACUUUUUAGCACGUUUAAGAUGUAUCAUUUUUGUUGCAACCGCCAUACUCUUUACAUUUGCAUUGGGUGAUGGACUUUUUAUUUUUGCAUCGAGUUCUUCGCAAGUUGAGCAAACGUCUACUUGUGGGCGACCAAAUUUAUAGCCAUGAUUAUCAUUAAAAUAUUUUCUGUAAUAGUCUUAUUUUACGCAUUGAAAUUGGCGGUAUUUUGUCAAAAAAAGUUCAUGCAUUAUUUUGACGUUUAGGUUCGCUUCUAAAUAUUGUAUAUUUUUGCUGCUGUAAUGUGAUUGUUUUAAGGGAAAUGACCGGAUAUGUUCAUCAAUAGCCGCAAUUGUUUCGUUUGUUAAGACAUUACCUCGAUUACGAUGCUGCCGUCGUUGAUGUUCAGGUAAUUUUCCCUCCGUUUUAAGGGAGGUAAGGCGAAAAAGAGCCUUAUUUUUUAUACCAUAUAAAAUGGAGAAAGCUUGAAGGCAUACCUGAUUUUUUUCAUUUCCUUUAGUAGCAAAAUACGUGAACGAACUGUCACGCUUUUUCGGAUUUUCGUGUUUUGAACAAUGGCGAUUAACCCUUGCGUAUUCAAUGAGACUCAUCAUAUAUAUGUCUUGCUCAUUUUUCGGACGUCCAUUGUAAACGAAUUUAAACAAUUGCUGUUUUUCUUCAAUGCUAAACUGCUGAGUGCAUUUUUUAUUACAGACACAGUUACUAUUAGAUUUUGCUGACACUAACCGCACCAGUACUUGUACUCACAUAAGAUUUGCCAAGUAAACGCUGUGUCUUCUGCUUUUCUUUUUUGUAUAAAUGGAUAUUUUUAACAUCUCUUCUCUUCUUUUUCGGAGUCUCAGCUUCUGACUUAUUAUCAAGUGAAUUGUUACAGCUACUUUCACUGCUCAUAUUCAAACUUUAGUAUUGAAAUAAUAAUUAAAAUGUUAAUAAUCUUCACUACGCAACGCUCACCGAAUGCAGUCUCAAAGACAACUAAAAUGGCGUCAAUUAGAUCGUAAGUGUCGCGCCCCCCACCAAUAACGAUGCGUUUUUGUCUAUCGAUAAAUAAACAAGCAAAAAUAAUCACUAACUUUUAUACUCGUAACGUUGAUAGUUGGAAGAAAAGAAUACAGACAGGAUUCGUUCUUCCAACUAAACUUUUUCAUGGCCGCAUGAAUCUAUACAAAGUGAGUGGUUUUUGUUCCUUUUUUCGAACUCACAAUUUAGCGCUACGUCUAUAUAGAAUAUAAAAGUGUAUAAAACUGAAUAUGGUUGUUCAUUUUGAGUUACUGGUUUGCAGUUCUUGCUACUUUUCUGAUGGGCGUAUCAAUGUGUUUGUUCCACAAUGAAAACAAUCAGUACAUCAGGAAAAAACCGUUCGAAAAUACUUAGUGGUGAUGUUUUGUGCGUGUCAUUAGCGCCGGGUUUAAAACAUUUUCCAAAAACGGGAAUACGGGUUUCGGAGUGUUAUUUUUCAUUCUGACUUAGAGGUCAAUAGAAGAAGACAGAGUGAGAAUUAGCAAUGGUUUAAGUUAGCAGACUAUUAUGAAUAAGGGGGCCGAUCUUUAGUUUUUUCCUAUUCCUGAGGUGAUAUAAAAUAUAAUACGUAGGUACUGAGGUACCAAUUGAAAAACUUUGCAGUUGGUUAACACAUUCAAUGCCACCACGAUUUUCUAAUACUUCCCAGCGAUGCCGCCCUAUAAAAAACGCAAACAUGCUAGGUGUGCUCGCGGCACUGCAGGAUGGAAUUACGUAGCACGCUAGGCGUGUUCACCGGCACUGUUAAGAGGUAAAAUCAAAGAAAGCGUUAUUUCGGCUUCAACCGUGUUUAUUGAUCAGUCUUUCUCGAGUUACUGAAGAGAUAUUUUGUUUUUAGCAGUGUUUGUGCUUUUGAAAGUUAAAUUAUGGCAGUUAGUAGAUUCCAAGGGAAAACAAAAUAUGUGCAAGAAACAGUGGAAUAUGAUGAUGAUGCGACGCAAGCAGAUAGCCCACCCUCACAAAAACGCCCAAAAGUAGGAGAAUACAUCGCGAACGCAUCAAGCUCACCGAACUCAUCGCAAGAUAUAUUUACAGAACUACAAGAUGUACCUUACUCCCAAAAAUGGACAUAUUCGCAACAAAUGGAUGAAUAUGACAAAAAGGAUGUAAACACCAUGACUGACGGAAGACCAACAAUUACUAAAUAUAAAGAAAUUGGUACCAUGACUGAACCAGGGUUGACUUGUAACAACAAUACUAAUAUUGAAAUUCGAUGCAAUGAAUAUUUCGGAAGUGUUGUAGCAUGCGAGCUAGCAAAUUAUCACGGUCGCGUUCGUUACGAUAAAAUGAAAGCUAUCAUUGAUAUUUUUAAAGAAAAGUGAGAAAUUAGUUGCCUUGAUUGUUUAAAAGGUUUCUAUGAUUCUCUUGAGGAA
Molecule: RNA transcript, 4681 nt
Organism: Leptidea sinapis
Lineage: Eukaryota; Metazoa; Arthropoda; Insecta; Lepidoptera; Pieridae
Exons: 3
Source: RefSeq, a predicted model, not a curated record